RNAcentral lists this ribosomal RNA (253 nucleotides) under uncultured bacterium. Its description in RNAcentral is "partial 16S ribosomal RNA". It matches the Rfam family "Bacterial small subunit ribosomal RNA", at positions 524 to 776 of the family's 1533-position model. The record is from RNAcentral.
UACGUAGGUGGCAAGCGUUGUUCGGAUUCACUGGGCGUAAAGGGUGCGCAGGCGGCCGUGUGUGUGAGGCGUGAAAGCCCGGGGCUUAACCCCGGAAUUGCACCUCAAACUACACGGCUAGAGCAUUGGAGAGGGUAGCGGAAUUCACGGUGUAGCAGUGAAAUGCGUAGAUAUCGUGAGGAACACCAGAGGCGAAGGCGGCUACCUGGACAAUUGCUGACGCUCAGGCACGAAGGCGUGGGGAGCAAAAGGU